Long non-coding RNA from Rosa rugosa (rugosa rose), 532 nucleotides. RefSeq lists it as uncharacterized. The record is from RefSeq and is a predicted model, not a curated record. The transcript has 3 exons. NCBI's taxonomy places the organism in Eukaryota, Viridiplantae, Streptophyta, Magnoliopsida, Rosales, Rosaceae.
UGCUAUCACUUGUAAUCAUCUGUGCAGUAUCUCAAAGACUGAUAGUGAGCAAACCUCUAGGUUAAUGCUGAAGAUUUACAAGCUCCUGGACAUUUUGACAGAGCUGAAAGCAUACUUGGACUGGGUAUAAGAAGAAGAGUCCCCAGCGAGAGAUUCUUAUGGAAAACGAAAGAGUGAUUCGGCUCAAGAAGAGUUAGAGCGGAAGAUAGCUCAAAUGACUAAUUGGAUUGCAAGUAUCAAAAGGGUUAUUAUCAGUCAGAAUGAGGACAUCGAAAUUGUGAAUAAAUUGUCAACAGCCACAAUGAUUGAUCCUAGAAUCACUGUUGCAUGGUGCAGGAGGCAUGGAGUUCCCAUUGACAGUGUGAGUCACACCUUCAUUGUCUUCUUAAAGCCAAUAGUAUUACCAAUAGAUAUAUAUAUGCUUCAAUUGUUCGAAUGAAACAUGUGGUCUAUACAAAAAUUAUUGAUGGUGAUUGUUAUAAGACUUAGCAAUCUUCUGAAUGAGCUGGUGCUAGCUAGUUAACGUACUUGA